This 407-nucleotide ribosomal RNA is filed under the name uncultured bacterium. Its description in RNAcentral is "partial 16S ribosomal RNA". It matches the Rfam family "Bacterial small subunit ribosomal RNA", at positions 355 to 774 of the family's 1533-position model. The record is from RNAcentral.
UGGGGAAUAUUGGACAAUGGGCGAAAGCCUGAUGCAGCAACGCCGCGUGAGGGAUGACGGCCUUCGGGUUGUAAACCUCUUUUAGUAGGGAAGAAGCGAAAGUGACGGUACCUGCAGAAAAAGCACCGGCUAACUACGUGCCAGCAGCCGCGGUAAUACGUAGGGUGCAAGCGUUGUCCGGAAUUAUUGGGCGUAAAGAGCUCGUAGGCGGUUUGUCGCGUCUGCUGUGAAAUCCCGAGGCUCAACCUCGGGUCUGCAGUGGGUACGGGCAGACUAGAGUGUGGUAGGGGAGAUUGGAAUUCCUGGUGUAGCGGUGGAAUGCGCAGAUAUCAGGAGGAACACCGAUGGCGAAGGCAGAUCUCUGGGCCAUUACUGACGCUGAGGAGCGAAAGCAUGGGGAGCGAACA